Molecule: long non-coding RNA, 808 nt
Organism: Oreochromis niloticus (Nile tilapia)
Lineage: Eukaryota; Metazoa; Chordata; Actinopteri; Cichliformes; Cichlidae
Exons: 2
Source: RefSeq, a predicted model, not a curated record
UGAGACGCUGCAGUUCAUUUAUCUCCUCUUUAGACUACAGUAAGCUCAUAAAGCCUUAAAGAAAUUGAGGAUUUUACUAGUUAAUUUAUGUCACAGUAAAAUGGAUUGUGUGUGAAGAGGCUCAACAGUCUGAAUCAUCAAACAGUGAUCUGAUGUAUUGUUUCCUUUCUCUAGACUGCUGAUUUGAUCGUCUCAAGUCUGGUGACCUGCUGCAGAAAACCCUCUCCCUCUAUCAUUAACAAGCAAUUCAGUCUGUCCUAUCACUCUCCCUCUCCCUGCUCCAUCUUUUUUUGACAAGCCAUUCUAUCUUCUAUCAUUUCUCCGCCAUGAGCUCUAUCUAAUUUGACAAGCUUGAACCUGAGUUGAAACGCAAUCCUGUGACUUGAAAUCAAGUUUUACCAGAAUCUAAGUUUUUGGAAUUGAAGUUACCAGAACUUCGUCAAUCUGUUUUCAGAAUUCUGAGAGAUCUCCGCUCUCACUGCUCCAUCUUUCCUGUCGUUAAACUCUCUCACAUCCAGUCAUUUUGCUGGAAAUCACAAGUAGAAAGUUAAAAUUACAGUAGUAGAAUUACACUACAGUAGAACUCACAGUAGAAACUACUUACACAGUCCUACAUUUGUCAUUUUAAUUUUUACAUUAUACUUUGGAAUAAACACUGACAGUUUGGCUUACGGGUGCAGUUACUUUGAUAAAUUAUAUAAAAUACACCUUUUUCAAGGUUUGUUUGUAAUAAGAUAAUCUGGUUAUUUUGUAAUACAUACAUUCAGACUGUUAUAUUAACAUAAAUAAUAAAUUGGAUUCAAAUAUA